RNAcentral lists this ribosomal RNA (468 nucleotides) under uncultured bacterium. Its description in RNAcentral is "partial 16S ribosomal RNA". It matches the Rfam family "Bacterial small subunit ribosomal RNA", at positions 28 to 507 of the family's 1533-position model. The record is from RNAcentral.
GACGAACGCUGGCGGCGUGCUUAACACAUGCCAGUCGAACGGAAAGGCCCUGCUUUUGUGGGGUGCUCGAGUGGCGAACGGGUGAGUAACACGUGAGUAACCUGCCCUUGACUUUGGGAUAACUUCAGGAAACUGGGGCUAAUACCGGAUAGGAGCUCCUGCUGCAUGGUGGGGGUUGGAAAGUUUCGGCGGUUGGGGAUGGACUCGCGGCUUAUCAGCUUGUUGGUGGGGUAGUGGCUUACCAAGGCGUUGACGGGUAGCCGGCCUGAGAGGGUGACCGGCCACAGUGGGACUGAGAUACGGCCCAGACUCCUACGGGAGGCAGCAGUGGGGAAUAUUGCACAAUGGGCGGAAGCCUGAUGCAGCAACGCCGCGUGCGGGAUGACGGCCUUCGGGUUGUAAACCGCUUUCGCCUGUGACGAAGCGUGAGUGACGGUAAUGGGUAAAGAAGCACCGGCUAACUACGUG